Molecule: ribosomal RNA, 249 nt
Filed under: uncultured Nostocaceae cyanobacterium
Lineage: Bacteria; Bacillati; Cyanobacteriota; Cyanophyceae; Nostocales; Nostocaceae
Description: partial 16S ribosomal RNA
Rfam family: Bacterial small subunit ribosomal RNA
Source: RNAcentral
UGGGGAAUUUUCCGCAAUGGGCGAAAGCCUGACGGAGCAAUACCGCGUGAGGGAGGAAGGCUCUUGGGUUGUAAACCUCUUUUCUCAGGGAAUAAGUUCUGAAGGUACCUGAGGAAUCAGCAUCGGCUAACUCCGUGCCAGUAGCCGCGGUAAUACGGAGGAUGCAAGCGUUAUCCGGAAUGAUUGGGCGUAAAGCGUCCGCAGGUGGCUGUGUAAGUCUGCUGUUAAAGAGCAAAGCUCAACUUUGUA